UAGUACGGCGAGUGAGAGGGAAGAGCCCAAGAUUGAAAGCUGGCGUCUUCGGCGUCCGCAUUGUAAUCUCAAGAAGUGUUUUCCGCUUCGGACCAUGCCUAAGUCCCUUGGAAAAGGGCAUCAUAGAGGGUGAUAAUCCCGUACAUGGCAUGGAGCGCCCGAAGCUUUGUGAUACGCUUUCUAAGAGUCGAGUUGUUUGGGAAUGCAGCUCAAAAUGGGUGGUAAAUGCCAUCUAAGGCUAAAUAUUGGGGAGAGACCGAUAGCGAACAAGUACAGUGAUGGAAAGAUGAAAAGAACUUUGAAAAGAGAGUUAAACAGUACGUGAAAUUGCCAAAAGGGAAGGGUAGGAGGUCAGAGAUGCGGCCUGGGAUUCAGCCUUGCUUUUGCUUGGUGUUUUUCCCAGAUUGCAGGCCAACGUCGGUUUUGGGCACUGGAGAAGGGUAGGAGGAACGUGGCACCUCUCGGGGUGUGUUAUAGCCUCCUACUGGAUACAGCGACCGAGACCGAGGACAGCAGCGUACUCGCAAGAGCGGGCCUUCGGGCACCUUUACGCUUAGGGCGUUGGCGUAAUGGCCCUCUACCACCCGUCUUGA
RNAcentral lists this ribosomal RNA (593 nucleotides) under uncultured Pseudozyma. RNAcentral describes it as "LSU rRNA". It matches the Rfam family "Eukaryotic large subunit ribosomal RNA", at positions 81 to 657 of the family's 3401-position model. The record is from RNAcentral. Lineage: Eukaryota; Fungi; Basidiomycota; Ustilaginomycetes; Ustilaginales; Ustilaginaceae.